RNAcentral lists this ribosomal RNA (254 nucleotides) under uncultured bacterium. RNAcentral's name for it is "partial 16S ribosomal RNA". It matches the Rfam family "Bacterial small subunit ribosomal RNA", at positions 524 to 776 of the family's 1533-position model. The record is from RNAcentral.
UACGAAGGGGGGCUAGCGUUGUUCGGAUUUACUGGGCGUAAAGCGCACGUAGGCGGUUUGUUAAGUCAGAGGUGAAAUCCCGGAGCUCAACUCCGGAACUGCCUUUGAUACUGGCAAGCUAGAGUCCGGAAGAGGUAAGUGGAACUCCUAGUGUAGAGGUGGAAUUCGUAGAUAUUAGGAAGAACACCAGUGGCGAAGGCGGCUUACUGGUCCGGAACUGACGCUGAGGUGCGAAAGCGUGGGGAGCAAACAGG